Long non-coding RNA from Liolophura sinensis, 357 nucleotides. RefSeq lists it as uncharacterized. The record is from RefSeq and is a predicted model, not a curated record. The transcript has 3 exons. Lineage: Eukaryota; Metazoa; Mollusca; Polyplacophora; Chitonida; Chitonidae.
CACGGCAUUUCUGCUCAACACCUGACAUAGGUCAACAUGUGGAGAACUCUGCUAUACCUCGCAAUCCUGGCUAUCUCUAUAGGGGCCGCGCUAGCCUGUCACACGAAUAAUGACUGUGUAAAGCACUGCAUGGACGAAUGGGGCCACGGCUGGACAGCCACCCGCCCAACCUGCCUGAUCGGCAGGUGUACCUGUCCACUCGUGAACGGUUAAAAGUAUAAAAGAAACCAUGGAAGGAAGCCAAAAUAUCCCGAGGAGAUAAUUCCGCAGUGUGAAAGACAUCGUAUACUAAAGUAGCUACAACCAAAUGAUACCAGAUUUGUCGUUAUUUACCAGGUUGUGAAAUAUUUCGUACAU